CUACAUCAUGUGGUCUUUUCCCAUAGGGCACAUGUACUUUUACGAAUGCAAUAUAAACCAAAGGAGUUAUCAGGGCUGACGGCCUUUAAGAACAGGCUGAGCGGUAGUAUAAUACUCCUACAUGA
Molecule: small nucleolar RNA, 125 nt
Organism: Rana temporaria (common frog)
Lineage: Eukaryota; Metazoa; Chordata; Amphibia; Anura; Ranidae
Product: small nucleolar RNA U109
Exons: 1
Source: RefSeq, a predicted model, not a curated record